Molecule: ribosomal RNA, 468 nt
Filed under: uncultured bacterium
Lineage: Bacteria
Description: partial 16S ribosomal RNA
Rfam family: Bacterial small subunit ribosomal RNA
Source: RNAcentral
GACGAACGCUGGCGGCGUGCUUAACACAUGCAAGUCGAACGGAAAGGCCCUGCUUUUGUGGGGUGCUCGAGUGGCGAACGGGUGAGUAACACGUGAGUAACCUGCCCUUGACUUUGGGAUAACUUCAGGAAACUGGGGCUAAUACCGGAUAGGAGCUCCUGCUGCUUGGUGGGGGUUGGAAAGUUUCGGCGGUUGGGGAUGGACGCGCGGCUUAUCAGCUUGUUGGUGGGGUAGUGGAUUACCAAGGCUUUGACGGGUAGCCGGCCUGAGAGGGUGACCGGCCACAUUGGGACUGAGAUACGGCCCGGACUCCUACGGGAGGCAGAAGUGGGGAAUAGUGCACAAUGGGCGGAAGCAUGAUGCAGCAACGCCGCGUGCGGGAUGACGGCCUUCGGGUUGUAAACCGCUUUCGCCUGUGACGAAGCGUGAGUGACGGUAAUGGGUAAAGAAGCACCGGCUAACUACGUG